Molecule: ribosomal RNA, 488 nt
Filed under: uncultured bacterium
Lineage: Bacteria
Description: bacterial SSU rRNA
Rfam family: Bacterial small subunit ribosomal RNA
Source: RNAcentral
AAAUGAAUAGACGGGCACCCGCACAAGCGGUGGAGCAUGCUGUUUAAUUCGAAAAUACGCGAAGAACCUUACCUAGACUUGACAUCCCCGGCAAAGCUAUAGAAAUAUAGUGGAGGUUAUCCGGGUGACAGGUGGUGCAUGGUUGUCGUCAGCUCGUGUCGUGAGAUGUUUGGUUAAGUCCAAUAACGAGCGCAACCCUCGUCUUUAGUUGCUAACAUUUAGUUGAGAACUCUAAAGAUACUGCCAGUGUAAGCUGGAGGAAGGUGGGGAUGACGUCAAAUCAUCAUGCCCCUUAUGUCUAGGGCUACAGGCGUGCUACAAUGGCCAAUACAACGAGUCGCAACACGGUAACGUGAAGCUAAUCUCUUAAAGUUGGUCUCAGUCCGGAUUGUGGUCUGCAACUCGACCACAUGAAGUUGGAAUCGCUAGUAAUCCCGAAUCAGAAUGUCGGGGUGAAUACGUUCCCGGGUGUUGUACACACCGCCCGU